UCUUAAAUCAUUACGGUUCACAUAUAUAAUCAAAUAUACCAACUAGUAUUCACUUCGAUACUUAUCCCUGAUAAUUCUUCAAAAGAAUGUUAAAUCUACCAUAAUCUUAUACCUCAUUACUAGACUAUCACUUAUAGUCUAUCACAUAAUUCAAGUUUUGUUCAACACUUUUGAAAUUCUUGGAAUUUCAUUACAUAACUGACAAUUCCAUACACUUAUUUCCUGUCUAGGUCCUAAUAUUGAACCUUAAAUCAAUCAAUUAUGAUUUUCAUAGAUUGUCUAAAUUCUCGGGUUGUCACAU
RNAcentral lists this long non-coding RNA (301 nucleotides) under Panax ginseng (ginseng). RNAcentral describes it as "long non-coding RNA (PGIN_LNC014629)". The record is from RNAcentral. Lineage: Eukaryota; Viridiplantae; Streptophyta; Magnoliopsida; Apiales; Araliaceae.